Molecule: ribosomal RNA, 192 nt
Filed under: uncultured Pseudomonas sp.
Lineage: Bacteria; Pseudomonadati; Pseudomonadota; Gammaproteobacteria; Pseudomonadales; Pseudomonadaceae
Description: partial 16S ribosomal RNA
Rfam family: Bacterial small subunit ribosomal RNA
Source: RNAcentral
ACUCCUACGGGAGGCAGCAGUGGGGAAUAUUGGACAAUGGGCGAAAGCCUGAUCCAGCCAUGCCGCGUGUGUGAAGAAGGUCUUCGGAUUGUAAAGCACUUUAAGUUGGGAGGAAGGGCAGUAAGCUAAUACCUUKCUGUUUUGACGUUACCGACAGAAUAAGCACCGGCUAAUCUCCCCAGCCGCGGUAAU